Ribosomal RNA from Drosophila sechellia, 2250 nucleotides. It matches the Rfam family "Eukaryotic large subunit ribosomal RNA", at positions 406 to 3401 of the family's 3401-position model. The record is from Rfam. NCBI's taxonomy places the organism in Eukaryota, Metazoa, Arthropoda, Insecta, Diptera, Drosophilidae.
AUCUAUUAGCAUAUCCCAAAUUUAUCAUAAAAUAUAACUUAUAGUUUAUUCCAAUUAAAUUGCUUGCAUUUUAACACAGAAUAAAUGUUAUUAAUUUGAUAAAGUGCUGAUAGAUUUAUAUUAUUACAGAGCGUUAAUUUUUCGGAAUUAUAUAAUGGCAUAAUUAUCAUUGAUUUUUGUGUUUAUUAUAUGCUCUUGUAUGAUUAACAAUGCGAAAGAUUCAGGAUACCUUCGGGACCCGUCUUGAAACACGGACCAAGGAGUCUAACAUAUGUGCAAGUUAUUGGGAUGUAAACCUAAUAGCGUAAUUAACUUGACUAAUAAUGGGAUUAGUUUUUUAGCUAUUUAUAGCUAAUUAACACAAUCCCGGGGCGUUCUAUAUAGUUAUGUAUAAUGUAUAUUUAUAUUAUUUAUGCCUCUAACUGGAACGUACCUUGAGCAUAUAUGCUGUGACCCGAAAGAUGGUGAACUAUACUUGAUCAGGUUGAAGUCAGGGGAAACCCUGAUGGAAGACCGAAACAGUUCUGACGUGAAAAUCGAUUGUCAGAAUUGAGUAUAGGGGCGAAAGACCAAUCGAACCAUCUAGUAGCUGGUUCCUUCCGAAGUUUCCCUCAGGAUAGCUGGUGCAUUUUAAUAUUAUAUAAAAUAAUCUUAUCUGGUAAAGCGAAUGAUUAGAGGCCUUAGGGUCGAAACGAUCUUAACCUAUUCUCAAACUUUAAAUGGGUAAGAACCUUAACUUUCUUGAUAUGAAGUUCAAGGUUAUGAUAUAAUGUGCCCAGUGGGCCACUUUUGGUAAGCAGAACUGGCGCUGUGGGAUGAACCAAACGUAAUGUUACGGUGCCCAAAUUAACAACUCAUGCAGAUACCAUGAAAGGCGUUGGUUGCUUAAAACAGCAGGACGGUGAUCAUGGAAGUCGAAAUCCGCUAAGGAGUGUGUAACAACUCACCUGCCGAAGCAACUAGCCCUUAAAAUGGAUGGCGCUUAAGUUGUAUACCUAUACAUUACCGCUAAAGUAGAUGAUUUAUAUUACUUGUGAUAUAAAUUUUGAAACUUUAGUGAGUAGGAAGGUACAAUGGUAUGCGUAGAAGUGUUUGGCGUAAGCCUGCAUGGAGCUGCCAUUGGUACAGAUCUUGGUGGUAGUAGCAAAUAAUCGAAUGAGACCUUGGAGGACUGAAGUGGAGAAGGGUUUCGUGUGAACAGUGGUUGAUCACGAGUUAGUCGGUCCUAAGUUCAAGGCGAAAGCCGAAAAUUUUCAAGUAAAACAAAAAUGCCUAACUAUAUAAACAAAGCGAAUAUAAUACACUUGAAUAAUUUGAACGAAAGGGAAUACGGUUCCAAUUCCGUAACCUGUUGAGUAUCCGUUUGUUAUUAAAUAUGGGCCUCGUGCUCAUCCUGGCAACAGGAACGACCAUAAAGAAGCCGUCGAGAGAUAUCGGAAGAGUUUUCUUUUCUGUUUUAUAGCCGUACUACCAUGGAAGUCUUUCGCAGAGAGAUAUGGUAGAUGGGCUAGAAGAGCAUGACAUAUACUGUUGUGUCGAUAUUUUCUCCUCGGACCUUGAAAAUUUAUGGUGGGGACACGCAAACUUCUCAACAGGCCGUACCAAUAUCCGCAGCUGGUCUCCAAGGUGAAGAGUCUCUAGUCGAUAGAAUAAUGUAGGUAAGGGAAGUCGGCAAAUUAGAUCCGUAACUUCGGGAUAAGGAUUGGCUCUGAAGAUUGAGAUAGUCGGGCUUGAUUGGGAAACAAUAACAUGGUUUAUGUGCUCGUUCUGGGUAAAUAGAGUUUCUAGCAUUUAUGUUAGUUACUUGUUCCCCGGAUAGUUUAGUUACGUAGCCAAUUGUGGAACUUUCUUGCUAAAAUUUUUAAGAAUACUAUUUGGGUUAAACCAAUUAGUUCUUAUCAAUUAUAACGAUUAUCAAUUAACAAUCAAUUCAGAACUGGCACGGACUUGGGGAAUCCGACUGUCUAAUUAAAACAAAGCAUUGUGAUGGCCCUAGCGGGUGUUGACACAAUGUGAUUUCUGCCCAGUGCUCUGAAUGUCAAAGUGAAGAAAUUCAAGUAAGCGCGGGUCAACGGCGGGAGUAACUAUGACUCUCUUAAGGAUCAGGGGUAAUUGCGAGCAGAGGGGGAGUAUUUUUCUGUAAUUCGUAAGUCAUAUCAUAUGGUGUGCGGAAGGGGAAUUUUACUCUGUAACUCACAAGUCUCUCCUUUACUCAAGUCGACUCAAAACCUCCUCGUGGUGGUCCCCGGU